Molecule: unclassified non-coding RNA, 89 nt
Filed under: Pseudomonas cedrina
Lineage: Bacteria; Pseudomonadati; Pseudomonadota; Gammaproteobacteria; Pseudomonadales; Pseudomonadaceae
Source: RNAcentral
UGUGGGAGCUGGCUUGCCUGCGAUAGCGGUGUGCCAGGCAACUGAUCUUUCACUGACAGACCGCUAUCGCAGGCAAGCCAGCUCCCACA